This is an RNA transcript of Ornithorhynchus anatinus (platypus), 9300 nucleotides long. It is a transcript of the gene named DOP1 leucine zipper like protein A, with no coding region annotated. The transcript has 46 exons. NCBI's taxonomy places the organism in Eukaryota, Metazoa, Chordata, Mammalia, Monotremata, Ornithorhynchidae. The record is from RefSeq and is a predicted model, not a curated record.
AGCAGCAGCAGCAGCAGCAGCCGCAGGACCAGCCCUGGGCCGGGGGAUGAUUUUACAUGACGUGCAACGAGCUGGUCUCUAGCGGGACUCAGCGGGAGAAUGAACACGGAGGAGCUGGAGUUACUGAGUGACUCCAAGUACAGGAACUACGUAGCCGCGGUCGACAAGGCACUGAAGAAUUUCGAGUACUCCAGCGAAUGGGCGGAUUUGAUUUCAGCACUUGGGAAACUCAACAAGGUCUUGCAAAACAAUGCAAAGUACCAAGUAGUACCAAAAAAGCUGACCAUAGGUAAGCGUCUAGCACAAUGCCUGCAUCCAGCAUUGCCGGGAGGAGUUCACCGGAAGGCGCUUGAAACGUAUGAGAUCAUCUUCAAAAUCAUCGGUCCGAAGCGUCUGGCAAAGGAUCUUUUUCUAUACAGUUCUGGGCUUUUCCCUCUUCUUGCCAAUGCCGCCAUGUCCGUUAAACCAACCCUUCUUAGUCUGUAUGAGAUUUAUUAUUUGCCUCUGGGAAAAACAUUAAAGCCUGGUCUGCAAGGGUUGUUAACAGGAAUUCUUCCUGGUUUGGAGGAGGGCUCAGAGUACUAUGAGAGAACGAACACUCUGUUGGAGAAGGUCGCUACAGCAGUCGAUCAGUCAGCCUUCUAUAGUGCCCUGUGGGGUAGUCUUCUCACCAGCCCCGCUGUCCGCUUACCUGGAAUCACCUACGUUCUGUCUCAUCUGAACCGAAAGCUUUCCAUGGAAGACCAGCUUUAUAUCAUCGGCAGCGAUAUCGAAUUAAUGGUAGAAGCAGUGAGAACCUCAGUGCUGGAUUCAAGUGUCCUGGUACAGAGAAGCACACUGGACCUCAUACUCUUCUGUUUCCCUUUCCAUAUGAGUCAGGCUACUCGGCCAGACAUGAUCAGGAUCCUGUCAGCGGCGCUUCACGUGGUACUGAGGCGAGAUAUGUCACUGAACCGAAGGCUCUAUGCCUGGCUUCUUGGCUUUGAUAACAAUGGGGCUAUAAUAGGACCCAGAAGCACGAGACACAGUAAUCCCGAGGAACACGCCUCGUACUACUUUGCCACCUUUUCUAAAGAAAUGUUGGUCCAGGCAAUGGUGGGGAUCCUUCAAGUGAAUGGAUUUGGAGAAGAAAGCACAUUAAUGCAGGACCUCAAGCCUUUUCGCAUUUUAAUCAGUUUACUGGACAAACCUGAGUUAGGACCUGUAAUCUUAGAGGAUGUAUUGAUUGAAGUAUUUAGAACAUUGUACACACAGUGCAAAGCAGAAUUGGAUCUCCAGGUGGAACCCCCCUUCAGCAAAGAUCACGCCCAGCUUAGCAGCAAAUUGAGGGAAAAUAAGAAAACAGCAGAGCUGAUUAAAACUGCCAAUCUUCUCUUCAAUUCCUUUGAGCCUUAUUAUAUGUGGGAUUACAUUGCCCGUUGGUUUGAAGAAUGUUGUAGGAGGACACUACAUGCCAGACUUCAAAAUGGCCUUGGAGAUGGUAGUGAACCAUCUGAGUUACCACUGACCAAUUUCUGCCUACUGGUGGAUUUUUUGUUGGAUAUUGUCUCCUUGCCUACUAGAAGUAUGAGGGUGCUGUGUCAGGAGACUUAUAUCGAAAUACAAACAGAACACUUGCCCCAGUUGCUGCUACGAAUGAUUUCUGCACUGACAAGCCACCUGCAGACUUUGCACUUGUCUGAACUAACAGAUUCUCUCAGGCUCUGUUCGAAGAUACUGAGCAAGGUUCAACCCCCACUCCUCUCUGCAGGGCCUGAUGGUAUAGCGCACUUUCCAAGAGGUCAGACCAGUUCUCUCAAGGAAUGGGAAGACAAAAAGGCUCCCCCCGUUUCUCCCGAAAAUCCCAACGAUGUGUUCGAAGAUGGCGACAAUCCCCCAAGCAGUCGAUCGUCCGAGAGCGGAUUCACCGAAUUCGUACAGUACCAGGCCGAUAAGGCGGACGACAUCGACAGGGUAGUGAAUGAAAACCAAGGACCAUCUGGGGUUCCGGUGGGUAGUACGUCUUCGGAGGCCGAAACCGCCUCCACUGGGGGAUCGGAAGAAACCAUCAUCCGGCUCCCUUCCUCCGUUACACAAGGGACAGCGACACAGAGUGGGAAGACAGGCCAAAAGACUGCAAUGCAGUACUGCUUGGCAUACUUCCAACAGUUUUUAACCAGACUUAUCAACCUCUACAUCAUCCAGUGUAACUCCUCGCCUCAGCCUUUGGCAACAGAGCUUUCCGGGGAGCUCCCCCGAGAACACAAGGAAACUACAAAAUGGGACAUCAACUCCCAAGGAGACGUUAAAGGGCGAACCCCGAAUAAACCCCCAACUCCGAAAGAAUAUCUUUCUGCCUUCAUUGCUGCUUGCCAGCUCUUCCUCGAAUGUUCCAGUUUUCCUGUCUACAUUGCAGAGGGAAACCACUCUUCAGAGUUACAGCCAGAGAAGACAGAUAUUGAGUGUGAACAGGUGCAACCCCCCCUGUGGCUCCAGACACUAAUGAACGCUUGCAGUCAAGCCAGUGACUUCAGUGUUCAGAGCGUGGCGAUAUCGUUGGUCAUGGACUUGGUGGGAUUGACUCAAUCUGUUGCUGUGGUCACUGGGGAAAAUGUAAACAGCCUAGAGCCUGCACAGCCUCUAAGUCCAAACCAGGGAAGGGUGGCUGUGGUUAUAAGGCCACCCCUUACUCAAGGUAACCUGAGGUACACAGCUGAAAAGACAGAAUUUUUCAAGCAUGUAGCUUUAACCUUAUGGGAGCAGCUGGGAGAGAGAACACCCCAGCAUCACCAGAAGAGCGUGGAACUUUUCUACCAGUUACACAACUUGGUUCCUUCUUCUAGCAUCUGUGAGGAUGUCAUUAGUCAGCAGCUAACCCAUAGAGACAAGAAAAUAAGGAUGGAAGCACAUGCAAAGUUUGCAGUACUUUGGCAUCUAACCAGGGACUUGCAUAUAAAUAAAUCAUCAUCUUUUGCACGCUCUUUUGACAGGUCUUUGUUUAUCAUGUUAGACAGCCUUAACAGCUUGGACGGUUCUACCUGUUCUGUGGGGCAAGCCUGGCUGAAUCAAGUGCUGCAGAGGCAUGAUAUUGCAAGAGUCCUGGAACCGCUGCUGUUGCUGCUGCUGCAUCCAAAAACGCAGCGGGUUUCUGUGCAGCGGGUUCAAGCCGAGCGUUAUUGGAAUAAAUCUCCUUGUUAUCCCGAGGAAGAAAAUGACAAGCACUUCGUGCCAAACUUUGCCUGUCCUGAUGCCUUUUCCCACAUGCCAGCCGGCCAAGGACAACUUAUCGCCCCGCAAGGGACCAGUGAAAAGCAGUUGGUCAUGGAUGAAAUGGAGAACUUCAGUCUCACCGUCAACCCGUUAAGCGACAGACUGUCCCUGUUGAGUACCAGCAGCGAGACGAUCCCAAUGGGCGUGGCGGAUUUCGACCUCCCGGACCAGCAGAUAGAAAUCCUUCAGAGCUCUGACUCGGGGUGCUCCCAGACCUCAGGCGGCGACAACCUCAGCCUCGAGGCGGACCCAGAGAAUGCCGAUCCGGACGAUCGCCCCCGGUCGCCCAAGGAAGACUCCCCAGAUGAAAUCAUCCAGCAAGUGGUGAGCGACCUCAUCUGCCGAGUCGUCAGCGGCCUGGAAAAGGAACCCGAGCCAGUUACCCAGCCAGGCCCAUCGGAUGCCCCCUCCUCAAAAUUCAAUGCUUUAGAUCCCGCCGAGGAGGUCGCUCCAAGCGAGGAUCGAACCACGGGGAGCAGCCAGAGCAGUCUGCUCGGCCAGGGGUGCUCUCAGUUCUUAUCCGUCUCCGCCGAGGCCGGGCUCGAGGGCCCGACGAGCGGAAUCUCCCGAAACAGUUCCUCCCCCUGUAUCUCAGCGCCCCAGCCCCCGGUCCGGGACCCCGGCACUCGGUCAGUCGAAACGAAGGCCCGGCAACGGAGCCACAGCAGCAUCCAGUUCGGCUGCCGGGAAAAGCCAGCCGAGAAGGUCCCGGAGAAGCAGACGAUCGUCAAAGAGUCAGGGAAGCAGCCGGGGGCCAAGCCCAAAGUCAAACUCGCCCGGAAGAAAGACGAAGACAAGAAGAAAGGGCCAAACGAAAAGCCCAAGCCCACCAACGUCUUCUUUAGCGACGGCCUGGAUUUAGAGAACUGGUACAGCUGCGGCGAGGGGGAAAUCUCAGAGAUAGAGAGCGACGUGGGGUCCCCGGGGACGCGGAAGUCGCCCCACUUUAACAUCCAUCCCCUGUAUCAGCACGUGCUGCUGUACCUCCAGUUAUACGAUUCCUCGAGGACGCUGUACGCUUUCUCUGCCGUGAAGGCCAUCCUGAAAACGAAUCCGAUCGCUUUCGUCAACGCCAUCUCCACCACUAGCGUCAACAACGCGUACACGCCUCAACUCUCUCUGCUUCAGAACCUCUUGGCCAGGCACCGGAUUUCGGUCAUGGGCAAGGACUUCUACAGUCACAUCCCGGUGGACUCGAACCAUAAUUUCCGGAGCUCCAUGUAUAUAGAAAUCCUCAUCUCUCUCUGUCUGUAUUACAUGCGCAGCCACUACCCGACGCACGUCAAAGUGACGCCCCAGGACCUGAUCGGCAACCGCAACAUGCAGAUGAUGAGCAUCGAAAUCCUGAGCCUCCUCUUUUCGGAACUGGCCAAGGUCAUCGAGAGCUCCGCCAAGGGCUUCCCGAGCUUCAUUUCCGACAUGCUGUCCAAAUGCAAGGUGCAGAAGGUGAUCCUCCACUGCCUGCUGUCGUCUAUCUUCAGCUCCCAGAAAUGGCACAGUGAGAAGAUGGCGGGGAAGAACCUCGUGGCUCUCGAGGAAGGCUUCUCGGAGGACAGCCUCAUCAACUUCUCAGAGGACGAGUUCGACAACGGCAGCACGCUUCAGUCCCAGCUCUUGAAGGUCCUUCAGAGGCUGAUUGUCCUGGAGCAUCGGGUCAUGACGGGACCCGAGGAGAACGAACCCGGCUUUGAAUUCGUGAUCACCGACCUCGAGCACAUCAAUCCGCAGCAACCGAUGACUUCCCUCCAGUACUUACACGCCCAGCCCAUCACUUGUCAGGGCAUGUUUCUCUGCGCGGUGAUAAGAGCUCUGCAUCAGCACUGUGCCUGUAAAAUGCAUCCGCAGUGGAUUGGCUUGAUCACCUCCACUCUGCCUUACAUGGGGAAAGUUCUGCAGAGAGUGGUGGUCUCUGUGACCCUUCAGCUCUGCAGGAAUCUGGAUAAUUUAAUCCAGCAGUAUAAAUACGAAACGGGAUUGUCCGACAACAGACCUCUUUGGAUGGCAUCAAUUAUUCCUCCAGAUAUGAUGCUGACUCUCCUGGAAGGCAUCACAACCAUUAUCCAUUACUGUCUGUUGGAUCCAGCCACGCAGUACCAUCAGCUUUUGGUCAACGUAGACCAAAAACACUUGUUCGAAGCUCGCAGUGGGAUCCUGUCCAUCCUUCAUCUGAUCAUGUCCUCUGUGACCUUGCUUUGGAGCAUCCUGCACCAGGCAGAUUCUUCGGAGAAAGCCACGGUUGCCGCAGCCGCGUCCGUUACCACUGUGAACCUUGGAUCCACGAAGAACCUGAGGCAGCAGAUCCUUGAGUUGUUGGGCCCGAUCUCGAUGAAUCACGGUGUGCACUUCAUGGCCGCGGUUGCUUUUGUUUGGAACGAACGGAGGCCUAGCAAAACGGCUAAUCGGACAAAGGUCAUCCCAACAGCCAGCGAAGAACAGCUUUUGCUAGUAGAACUGGUUCGCUCCAUCAGUGUCAUGAGAACUGAGACGGUCAUCCAGACGGUGAAAGAAGUUUUAAAGCAACCGCCAGCCAUAGCCAAAGACAAGAAGCAUCUUUCAUUGGAAGUCUGCAUGCUUCAGUUUUUCUUUGCAUAUAUUCAAAGGAUUCCUGUACCUAACUUGAUGGACAGCUGGGCAUCCUUGCUGGUUCUUCUCAAAGACUCCAUCCAACUGAAUCUCCCAGCACCCGGACAGUUUCUCCUACUUGGGGUUUUGAAUGAGUUUAUUAUGAAAAACCCCAGUCUGGAAAAUAAAAAAGAUCAAAGGGACCUUCAGGAUGUUACUCAUAAAAUAGUGGAUGCCAUCGGUGGAAUUGCUGGAUCUUCUUUGGAGCAGACUACUUGGUUACGGCGAAAUCUAGAAGUUAAGCCUUCCCCCAAAAUCAUGGUUGAUGGAACCAGUCUGGAAUCUGAUGUUGAAGACAUGUUGUCUCCUGCUAUGGAAACUUCAAACAUCACUCCUUCAGUCUAUAGCGUGCACGCUUUAACACUACUGUCUGAGGUUUUGGCUCAUCUUUUGGAUAUGGUGUUCUACAGUGAUGAAAAGGAGAGGGUUAUUCCGUUACUUGUAAAUAUUAUGCAUUAUGUUGUCCCCUACCUCCGAAAUCACAGUGCUCACAACGGCCCCAGUUAUCGAGCUUGUGCCCAGCUCCUGGGCAGCCUCAGCGGCUAUCAGUAUACAAGAAGAGCAUGGAAAAAGGAAGCCUUUGACCUCUUUAUGGAUUCCAGUUUCUUCCAGAUGGAUGCCUCUUGUGUCAACCACUGGCGAGCGAUUAUGGACAACCUGAUGACCCAUGACAAAACAACUUUUAGGGAUUUGAUGACACGAGUAGCCGUAGCUCAGAGCAGUUCUCUCAACCUGUUUGCUAACCGGGACGUGGAGCUGGAACAGAGAGCAAUGCUCCUUAAAAGACUUGCAUUUGCUAUUUUCAGCAGUGAAAUUGACCAGUAUCAGAAAUACCUGCCGGACAUACAAGAACGACUGGUAGAGAGCCUCCGUCUGCCCCAGGUGCCUACCCUGCACUCUCAGGUGUUCCUGUUUUUCAGAGUGUUGCUUUUAAGGAUGUCUCCUCAGCACCUCACCUCUCUUUGGCCAACUAUGAUCACCGAGCUUGUGCAAGUGUUUUUAUUAAUGGAACAGGAGCUCACGGCUGAUGAGGACAUUUCAAGGACUGCAGGCCCCUCUGUGGCUGGGUUGGAGACCACAUACACAGGGGGUAAUGGCUUCUCUACUUCCUAUAACAGCCAGCGGUGGUUGAACCUGUACCUCUCGGCCUGCAAGUUUCUGGAUUUGGCUCUGGCGCUGCCCUCAGAAAACCUUCCCCAGUUUCAAAUGUACCGCUGGGCCUUUAUUCCCGAAGCAUCCGAUGAUUCAGGGUUAGAAGUACGAAGGCAAGGUACACAUCAGCGGGAAUUUAAACCUUAUGUGGUACGACUGGCAAAAUUGCUGCGGAAAAGGACAAAGAAAACACCCGAGGAAGAAAGUGCGGGGAAGGCCCUGGGCUGGGAGCCGGGCCACCUGCUGCUCACGAUCUACACCGUACGCUCCAUCGAACAGCUCCUGCCCUUCUUCAACGCGCUCAGCCAGGUCUUCAACAGCAAAGUCACGAGCCGGUGCCUGGGACACUCAGGGAGCCCCGCCCUCUACCCCAGCGCCUUCCCCGCCAAGGACAUUAAGCCGGAAAACCAGAAAAUGUUCUCCAGCAAAGCCAGGCAAAAAAUCGAAGAGACCGUGGAGAAGGAUUUUCUGGAAGGGGUGAUCAAAACAGUCUUUCCCUCAGGCGGACGCAGCCUUGCCUCCGAGCCAGGAUUAGGAUUAGCUGCCGCCGGCCCCCCUGAGGAGACGCUUCCCCACCUCACCAGGACCCACCCUAGGCUACAGCCCCACUUCCCCUCCAGCUCCUCAACGAUCGGCGACCAGGACUGGGAGCGGCAGAGCUCCAGGUUUUUGAUUCUUGAGGAAAAGGUUCUCUCAGCAGGACUGUUGCCAUCUGUACAGAUCUUUCCAGGACAACCAAUGCAGCUGAGGAGAUGUGUGCACCAGACUGAACUACCUGCAGGGUUGCAGAACCCAAGCAGAAAUACAAGCUCAAAGCAGCCACGGGGGAGAAGGGUCAGGUUGAACAAUCACUGGGAAGGAACCCGAGCAGUUAAAGAAGAAGGAUCUUGUUAGAAAACUCCAGUUGUGGUGCCUUGUAACCAUUCAGAUUGUCACAGCUUUCCAAGUCAUCUGGUCGGCGGCUGUGUGGACGCUUCCUUCAGCCGACGGGCCCGGGCAUCUCUCCUACUCCUCCGGCCCCACGGAAGACGGCCAGGCUCACAGCCUGCGCCAGAGCGUCUGCAUUCUCCUGGCAACGACAAGGCCCCCCAAAAAGUGCAGUGACAGGGAAAGGGCACUAAGAUUCCUGCUUAGGAGGAGCUCAGCUGAGCCCGGAGCAACCGCCCAGCAUUAAGAGACUCGACACCACAACCUGGAGAAAACAGCGGCUCUUGGGCAAACAGAAAGUGAGCAACUCCUGCUGCUCCCUGGUGCCAGGUAGGGGAGGCAUCCCAACCUGGGUGUCGGCUUCGGCGUAGACGCGGACCACAUCCUCCGUCCCCGAGGGCCUCACGAACGCCCGCGCCUGCCUGUACUUCUUCACCAGCUCAUCGAUCGCCUCUUGCAGUCCCGGGGGCGAAACCGCCCGUCUCUCGGCAUCCGUCGUGUCAAUCACCCGCCUGUCCGCGACCUAGAAGGGGUGCUCUUAAGUUUGGGGCUGGAGUAUCCUGUUCUGAAUACCUGACUAUUCAGAAGUCGAAGGAACUGAGAAUUCUACCAUGGCCAGGAUCGAUUCUAAAGAGGUGGCCCGCUCGAAUAGGAACUUACCGUGCCGUGACCGUUCGCUUCAAAGUAGACUCCAAUGUCAAACUCCUGGGCUUUGUGGUGCAAGUGCUUUACUCCUGUUUUGGUACAGUGUACAGGCACCUAGGAUGCAGAACACAGAUUUUAACCAAAAUUUACACAAAGUCUAAGACUCCAGCUUCCCUGGCCCUUGCCCUCCGGAUUGUUUCUGAAGGGAGAAAGCAGUGAGCAUGUGUGAACAGUUAUAGGAGGCUGAAUGUCAUCCAGGUGGACUCGGUUCAGGACAGCAUACUGUGAGGUGACAUUGUGGGGGACGGGGGGCAUCCCUCCACCCUCCCUCACUGAACUCCAACCUGCUAAAAGGCAGCCAGGCAGGAAUUGGAAAGGAGUGGGACACAAGCAGAGGCUGGCUGUGUCAGUGAGAAUGCAGCAAUCCUCCCUGGCCUGUGGCACACCAGUUUCGUUCACUUUCUCUUCCUUCUCCCAGUGAAAAGGAAAGGAACUGUCAUCCAGCUAUCCAGAACCCUUAGCAGCCACCUCGCUCCAGCCGCGGCAUCUCUGCCCUCAAAGUCGAAGCAGAACUUCCAACCCAGCCUCACCUGAGGCCAAGAGGCCAUUCCUUUGUGAAAAUGCUAUUGUAACUAAUAGUCUCACUGACCCGACUUGCCUUUUACAAGAGAGUGAAAAUAAAAGUUACCUUCAUGACUUCUUCAA